Molecule: ribosomal RNA, 921 nt
Filed under: uncultured bacterium
Lineage: Bacteria
Description: bacterial SSU rRNA
Rfam family: Bacterial small subunit ribosomal RNA
Source: RNAcentral
UGCAGUCGAGCGGUAACAGAGAGUAGCUUGCUACUCUGCUGACGAGCGGCGGACGGGUGAGUAAUGCUUGGGAAUAUGCCUUAUGGUGGGGGACAACAGUUGGAAACGACUGCUAAUACCGCAUGAUGUCUACGGACCAAAGUGGGGGACCUUCGGGCCUCACGCCAUAAGAUUAGCCCAAGUGGGAUUAGCUAGUUGGUGAGGUAAUGGCUCACCAAGGCGACGAUCCCUAGCUGGUUUGAGAGGAUGAUCAGCCACACUGGGACUGAGACACGGCCCAGACUCCUACGGGAGGCAGCAGUGGGGAAUAUUGCACAAUGGGCGCAAGCCUGAUGCAGCCAUGCCGCGUGUGUGAAGAAGGCCUUCGGGUUGUAAAGCACUUUCAGUAAGGAGGAAAGGUUAAGUGUUAAUAGCACUUAGCUGUGACGUUACUUACAGAAGAAGCACCGGCUAACUCCGUGCCAGCAGCCGCGGUAAUACGGAGGGUGCGAGCGUUAAUCGGAAUUACUGGGCGUAAAGCGUACGCAGGCGGUUUGUUAAGCGAGAUGUGAAAGCCCCGGGCUCAACCUGGGAACUGCAUUUCGAACUGGCAAACCAGAGUGUGAUAGAGGGUGGUAGAAUUUCAGGUGUAGCGGUGAAAUGCGUAGAGAUCUGAAGGAAUACCGAUGGCGAAGGCAGCCACCUGGGUCAACACUGACGCUCAUGUACGAAAGCGUGGGGAGCAAACAGGANUAGAUACCCUGGUAGUCCACGCCGUAAACGAUGUCUACUAGAAGCUCGGGUCUUCGGANUNGUUUUUCAAAGCUAACGCAUUAAGUANACCGCCUGGGGNNUACNNCCGCAAGGUUAAAACUCAAAUGAAUUGACGGGGGCCCGCACAAGCGGNGGANCAUGUGGNUUNANNCGAUGCNNCGCGAANAA